RNAcentral lists this small RNA (28 nucleotides) under Bombyx mori (domestic silkworm). RNAcentral's name for it is "ovarian small RNA-34224". Lineage: Eukaryota; Metazoa; Arthropoda; Insecta; Lepidoptera; Bombycidae. The record is from RNAcentral.
UGCUGGAGUAGUUGAGCUAUGCAGUCAG